This 304-nucleotide long non-coding RNA is filed under the name Bos indicus x Bos taurus (hybrid cattle). RNAcentral describes it as "lncRNA (ENSBIXG00000028561.1)". Lineage: Eukaryota; Metazoa; Chordata; Mammalia; Artiodactyla; Bovidae. The record is from RNAcentral.
UCUGUUGUACAACUGUGAUGCUUAGUACCAGCACUGUAUUCAGGAGCAGCCCAAGAUAGGACUAGAGUCGGUAGCGGACCUCUGAUGGUGGACCUGAAGUUCAUUUUCCAUUGCCACAGCGACAGGAAGGAAAGCUGAAACCAGGAGUGCCGGCGGGAGAGCUGCAGGGCAGGACGCAAUGCCAUCAAGUGACUGGAGUCUCGUUAUUAGGAAAUGUGGAAAGGUUACUGAAACUGGUAAGCAGGCCACAGGAACUGAAUACUCCCAGGGAUGAGGGAGGCACUGGUGAACACUGAACCCUUUU